This 508-nucleotide ribosomal RNA is filed under the name uncultured bacterium. RNAcentral's name for it is "bacterial SSU rRNA". It matches the Rfam family "Bacterial small subunit ribosomal RNA", at positions 32 to 513 of the family's 1533-position model. The record is from RNAcentral.
AAUCAACGCUGGCGGCGUGCCUCAGACAUGCAAGUCGAACGCGAAACCUUCCUUCGGGAGGGGAGUAGAGUGGCGCACGGGUGAGUAACACGUAGGUAAUUUGCCUUCGGGUGGGGAAGUAACAGCCGGAAACGGCUGCUAAUACCGCAUAAUGCAGCGGCUCGACAUCGAGACAGUUGUUAAAGCGGGGGAUUCGCAAGAACCUCGCGCCUGAAGAGAAGCCUGCGGCAGAUUAGCUAGUUGGUAGGGUAAUGGCCUACCAAGGCGACGAUCUGUAACCGGCCUGAGAGGGCGGUCGGUCACACUGACACUGACAUACGGGUCAGACUCCUACGGGAGGCAGCAGUCGGGAAUUUUGGGCAAUGGGCGAAAGCCUGACCCAGCAACGCCGCGUGAAGGAUGAAAUCCCUCGGGAUGUAAACUUCGUAAGAACAGGAAGAAUAAGUGGGGACAACUACCCCCAUGAUGACGGUACUGUUUGUAAGCUCCGGCUAACUCCGUGCCAGCC